This 425-nucleotide ribosomal RNA is filed under the name uncultured bacterium. RNAcentral describes it as "bacterial SSU rRNA". It matches the Rfam family "Bacterial small subunit ribosomal RNA", at positions 356 to 773 of the family's 1533-position model. The record is from RNAcentral.
AGGGAAUCUUCCGCAAUGGACGAAAGUCUGACGGAGCAACGCCGCGUGAGUGAAGAAGGUCUUCGGAUCGUAAAACUCUGUUGUUAGGGAAGAGCAAGUAUCGGAGUAACUGCCGGUACCUUGACGGUACCUAACCAGAAAGCCACGGCUAACUACGUGCCAGCAGCCGCGGUAAUACGUAGGUGGCAAGCGUUGUCCGGAAUUAUUGGGCGUAAAGCGCGCGCAGGCGGUCCUUUAAGUCUGAUGUGAAAGCCCACGGCUCAACCGUGGAGGGUCAUUGGAAACUGGGGGACUUGAGUGCAGAAGAGGAAAGCGGAAUUCCACGUGUAGCGGUGAAAUGUGUAGAGAUGUGGAGGAACACCAGUGGCGAAGGCGGCUUUCUGGUCUGUAACUGACGCUGAGGCGCGAAAGCGUGGGGAGCAAAC